AUUGUAUUUCUCUGCAUGACAGCCCUGACGGUAUGCCACUUCCAUCACUGCCUGGCUUGACCAUGGCUGCUGUUCCUCUGAACAACCUACAGGAGCAACUGCAGCGUCACUCAGCCAGAAAACUUAAUAAUAAAUUCGACCUUUCGAAACCAAAAUCUUCAGGUUUUACUUUUAAAAAGAAAACGUCAGAGGGUGAUGUGUCUGUAACUAGCGUGCCAGUGGUAAAAACACCUGCAUUAAGUGAUAAAGAUGUGAUUGUGUCUGAGGCCUUUCCAUCCACUGAGUCUCCUCUACUCCACACACCAAAGCAGCAGCCUGGGAUUGAUGGCUUCUUUAAAAAUUCUCUGGGAGAACAGCAGACCAAGGGGACCAAACCAUCACAGCUGGACUUGGUGCAGAUUCCUCAGGAAGUUUUAUGUACUGCCCCCAAAACCCCAGCUGUAAAGAAACCCCACAUUUCUGUUUUCAAGAAAUUAGAAUUUAGUUCUUCACCAGAUUCCCUCAACGAUUGGGCCGAUAUGGAUGACUUUGAUAUUUCAGCAUCAGAUGCAUUUGUUUCAAUGAGUAGAAACCCUGUCAUAAGAGUAAGCACUGCUCAGAAACCAAAAAAGUCUAUCAGAAACUUUUUUAAACCACCACCUCAUAAAGCAAGUGUGGUAAAGGCUGGUUUGACUCUGUCUUCCCCUGAAAGCUCACAAGUGGAUUUAACUAAGGAUCAGAAGGAUGAGUCGGAAUACUUAAGCGGUGAUGUGAUUUGCAUCGACAGUGACCCUGGUUCUGAAGAGCUUGUGAAGAAAGACGCUCAGGAGAGUCAGUCUUUGGAAACUGAAUUGGAAGUUGAAAGAGAUAAUAGUGAAAAGAAGAACCAUGUAGGUGAAGUUAAAUUACAGUCAACUGAGAAAGCGCUAUAUGAUGAUGAUGAUGAUUAUGAUGUAGACUUUGUUCCACCUUCUCCAGAAGAAGAAAUUAUUUCUGCAGCUUCUUCCUCUUCAAAAUGCUGCAGUAUGCUAAAGGAUCUUGAUGACUCUGACAAAGAGAAAGACAUUCUUAACACCUCAAAAGAUCUUUUGUCAAAACCAGAGGAAAUGCCUGCAAAGGAGCCUGAUCCAGGAACCAAUACAGACUGUGACGACAAACAGAUGAGUGUGCAGCAGCAGCUUAUUCGUGUGAUGGAGCACAUCUGUAAAUUAGUUGAUACUGUUCCUAUUGAUGAACUGAAAGCUUUGAAUUGUGGGAACGAGCUGCUUCAACAGCGAAACAUAAGAAGGGAGCUUUUGGCCGAAGCUGGUUUUAAUGGAAAAGAUGUCAGUCUUCUGAGUUCACUGUGGAGAUGCAGGCCUGACUCACAUGGUAACACUGUGCAGAGUAAUUCCUGCCCUGUGGGGCAUCCUAGUAAAGAGUUAAAUUCUCCAUCCUUUCCCUCACAUUCCCUUUCCACUGAGGAAUGCUUACCAACCACCACUCCAGGGAAGACAGGAUUCUCAGCCACCACGAAGAAUCUCCUUGAAAGGCCGUUAUUGAAUUCCCAUUUACAGAAGUCCUUUGUAAGUAGCAACUGGGCUGAAACACUAAGGAUAGAAAAAAGAAACGAAAGCACUUAUUUCCCAGGAAAUGUUCUCACAAGCACCGCUGUGAAAGAUCAGAAUAAACAUGCUGCUUCAGUAAAUAACUUAGAGAGAGAAGUCCAGGCUUCCUAUGAUAUUGAUAAUUUUAACAUUGAUGACUUUGAUGAUGAUGAUGACGAUGACUGGGAAAAUAUAAUGCACAGUUUUUCAGCCAGCAAAUCCUCCACAGCUGCCUACCCACCUAUCAAGGAAGGUGGGCCUGUUAAGUCUCUGUCAGAGAGGAUCUCUUCAGCCAAGACAAAGUCUCUUCCAGUGGUGUCAACUGCCCAAAAUAAAAAGCUCUCAGAGUCAAUUCAGAAUUACACUGAUAAGAUGGAACAAAAUUUGUCAUCAAAAAAUCUGAAACAUGAACAUUUUCAAAGUCUUAAUUUUCCUCAUACAAAAGAAAUGAUGAAGAUCUUUCACAAGAAAUUUGGCUUACAUAAUUUUAGAACUAAUCAGCUAGAGGCAAUCAAUGCUGCGCUGCUUGGUGAAGAUUGUUUUAUCCUAAUGCCCACUGGAGGUGGUAAAAGUUUGUGUUACCAGCUGCCUGCCUGUGUUUCUCCUGGGGUCACUAUUGUCAUUUCUCCCUUGAGAUCACUAAUAGUAGAUCAAGUUCAAAAGCUGACUUCCUUUGAUAUUCCUGCUACAUAUCUGACGGGGGAUAAGACUGACUCAGAAGCUGCAAAUAUUUACCUCCAAUUAUCAAAAAAAGACCCAAUUAUCAAGCUUUUGUAUGUUACUCCAGAAAAGGUCUGUGCAAGUAACAGGCUGAUUUCCACUCUGGAGAAUCUAUAUGAUCGGAAGCUCUUGGCACGCUUUGUCAUUGAUGAAGCACAUUGUGUGAGUCAGUGGGGUCAUGAUUUUCGUCAAGAUUACAAAAGGAUGAAUAUGCUUCGCCAGAAGUUUCCUUCGGUUCCAGUGAUGGCUCUCACGGCAACAGCGAAUCCCAGGGUACAGAAGGAUAUCCUCACACAGCUGAAGAUCCUCAGACCUCAGGUGACUUGAGAUUCAAAGGCUGGGGUGAAAACCUGCUAGCUAACCUUCUCCUUGCUGGCAUCUCUGAAAGAGACCAUCCUUCUACUCCAACAAACAAAAAAAGUUGUGCCACUCAAGAUCCCUCCCUACUCCUUCUGUUGCUUCUAUCUCUUCCAGAUGCCCUCUGAUGCUCUGGGUUAAUUUUACUUAAUUAACACAAAUGCAAACUUGAGGUUCACAGUAUGAUUGAAUAUCCCCCAUCACUUCAUCUCAGCAGCAUGCUUCUUCCUACCACCAAAUCCAUAACUAAUUGGUAAUGAAAGCCAUUUGAAAAUAUUCUGCUGUAUAUAUUUAGGUUAUACUAGGCUGUUGUCCCUCUGCCUGAGUUUGCUGAGACAGAUGCAUUCUUUAUUAUGUUCAUUUGCUCAGCAAAUACUUUAAUAUAGGUUUGUGUACUUAUGUUCUGAGGUUGAGGUAGAAUGCCUGAAGGAAUAAUGGCUGAACAGAAUAUUGGGGUGGAUUUUUUUAAAUGAUUUGUUUUUAUUUUAUGUGUAUGAGUGUUUGCAUGUCUGUCUGUACCCAUAGAAACUAGAGGACAUUAGAUCCCUGGGACUUGAAUUACAGAUGAUUGUAAGCUACCAUGUCGGUGCUGGGAACUGAACCUGGAUACUCUGGAAGAGCAGCAAGGUUCUUACUUAAAUGCUGAGCCAUCUCUCCAGCCCCCACCCCACCCACUCCCAAAGUGUAUUUUAAAAGCACAGCUUUUGUUCACUUAAAAAUAACAAACUGAUAUGGUGGCACAUGCAUGUAGACCCAGCAUGCCUACAGGAGGUGGAAAUGAGAGCAUCCUUAAGCUUAAGGAUGGCCUAGGCACCAUCAUAAGAUCUAGCCUCCAAAAAGAAAGAAAAGAGAAACUGGCUGUGUAAAUGUUGUAAACCUACCUCAUCACAAUAGUGCAUGCCUUUAGUCCCAGCACUUGAUAGACCAGAAGCAGGCCAGCCUGAUCUACAUAGUAAGUUCUAGGCCAGCCAGGGUUACAUAUUGAGACCUUGCCCCACCCCAUACUAUAAGCAUAAAAAUAAUAAAGGUCAUACAUGGUACACAUGCUUGCAGACAAAGCAAACACUCAUACACGUAAAAUGAAUAAAUCUAAAUAAAAAUAACAAAGUAUCUCUCAGAGAGUUAUGCCCUAACUUCAAAUUCUAUAUGAAGCCUUUGGGGUCAUGAGCUAACAGAGUUGCAUAGCCUUUGCAGAUCAGAUUGGCAGACCUAAAGCAAGUAGUUCAUGCAGCACUUUGGGUUUCUUCCAGCCUUUAAGUUGUUUAGUACCAGCAUGAAAAUACUUAGUUGCUAAUAGCUCUUUUACAUACCAUUAAUGAUCAUACUUGAGUGCAAGAACGUUAGAGUUCUCAUAAUUUUGUGUGUAUAAUCACAAAAUGUGGAAUGCAAUGUUUUAAUCUAAUGCUACUUGCAAUGAGGAAUAUUUAUGUAAAUUUGGGGUAAGAGAUGUAUCUUGCUUCCUGCCAUAUUAGAUACAUGCUUUAACACUAUAUUUAAAAUGUUAUACUUUAGGUUUUAAUAAAUACUGAAUGCUAUAAAUUUGUUUCUACAAAUGCUAUACUGCCUAAAAAAAUGUUUUAUUUCUGCCCCCCUUCCCCACUCACACCCCACCCCCUCUUUGAGGUUUUUGUUGAAAUGUACAGAGUUUUGAUACGAAGCCCUAACUGGCUUGGAAUUAUAAUAUAGGUCAUGCUGUCUCCUCUUCCCACAUUCUGUGAUUUCAGGUGUGCACCACCAUGCUGGGGAUGGAGAUAUAUAUCAUAUGAGAGAGGGGGGGGAGAGAGAGAGAGAGGGAGAGAGAGAGAGAGAGA
Cricetulus griseus (Chinese hamster) is the source of this 4453-nucleotide non-coding RNA. Lineage: Eukaryota; Metazoa; Chordata; Mammalia; Rodentia; Cricetidae. The record is from RefSeq and is a predicted model, not a curated record.